This 73-nucleotide transfer RNA is filed under the name Diaphorina citri (Asian citrus psyllid). It matches the Rfam family "tRNA". Rfam says of the family: Transfer RNA (tRNA) molecules are approximately 80 nucleotides in length. Their secondary structure includes four short double-helical elements and three loops (D, anti-codon, and T loops). Further hydrogen bonds mediate the characteristic L-shaped molecular structure. tRNAs have two regions of fundamental functional importance: the anti-codon, which is responsible for specific mRNA codon recognition, and the 3' end, to which the tRNAs corresponding amino acid is attached (by aminoacyl-tRNA synthetases). tRNAs cope with the degeneracy of the genetic code in two manners: having more than one tRNA (with a specific anti-codon) for a particular amino acid; and 'wobble' base-pairing, i.e. permitting non-standard base-pairing at the 3rd anti-codon position. Lineage: Eukaryota; Metazoa; Arthropoda; Insecta; Hemiptera; Psyllidae. The record is from Rfam by way of RNAcentral.
GCCUAGUUAGUUAGGAUUAUAGCGCGCGCGCCUUGUAAGCGCUAGGUCGUGGGUUCGACUCUCGCACGGGGCG